CUAUUGCUGCUAAUUGUAGGUAAGAAAAAUGUUCUUGUGACCUUUUUCUUUCCUUCUUUUCUUAGUUUUCCACUAUAUUUUUUUGAGCUUUUUGAUGGUCUGGCUUUAUCUAUUUAGCUUUUGUUUUGUUCUAAUGUGGCGUUGAUUAUUUGGGUUGCUUUAAAAGAAUGUUCUCUUUUUUUUUUUGACUGUCUCAUGAGGUUUCUUUUACCUUGAUUUUGUAGAAUUGCUUUUAGAAGUAG
RNAcentral lists this unclassified non-coding RNA (242 nucleotides) under Hevea brasiliensis (rubber tree). The record is from RNAcentral. Lineage: Eukaryota; Viridiplantae; Streptophyta; Magnoliopsida; Malpighiales; Euphorbiaceae.